GGCGCUAUAGCCAAGUGGUUACGGCGACAGAUUAGAAUAUUUCUGCUGCGUGUUUGUUUAUCUAUCUGUUCCUCUUUGAGGGCGCAGGUUCAAAUCCUGCUGGCGUCG
This is a non-coding RNA of Mycena floridula, 108 nucleotides long. The record is from the annotation of a GenBank genome assembly. NCBI's taxonomy places the organism in Eukaryota, Fungi, Basidiomycota, Agaricomycetes, Agaricales, Mycenaceae.